GACGAACGCUGGCGGCGUGCUUAACACAUGCAAGUCGAACGGAAAGGCCCUGCUUUUGUGGGGUGCUCGAGUGGCGAACGGGUGAGUAACACGUGAGUAACCUGCCCUUGACUUUGGGAUAACUUCAGGAAACUGGGGCUAAUACCGGAUAGGAGCUCCUGCUGCAUGGUGGGGGUCGGAAAGUUUCGGCGGUUGGGGAUGGACUCGCGGCUUAUCAGCUUGUUGGUGGGGUAGUGGCUUACCAAGGCUUUGACGGGUAGCCGGCCUGAGAGGGUGACCGGCCACAUUGGGACUGAGAUACGGCCCAGACUCCUACGGGAGGCAGCAGUGGGGAAUAUUGCACAAUGGGCGGGAGCCUGAUGCAGCAACGCCGCGUGCGGGAUGACGGCCUUCGGGUUGUAAACCGCUUUCGCCUGUGACGAAGCGUGAGUGACGGUAAUGGGUAAAGAAGCACCGGCUAACUACGUG
RNAcentral lists this ribosomal RNA (468 nucleotides) under uncultured bacterium. Its description in RNAcentral is "partial 16S ribosomal RNA". It matches the Rfam family "Bacterial small subunit ribosomal RNA", at positions 28 to 507 of the family's 1533-position model. The record is from RNAcentral.